RNAcentral lists this ribosomal RNA (254 nucleotides) under uncultured bacterium. Its description in RNAcentral is "partial 16S ribosomal RNA". It matches the Rfam family "Bacterial small subunit ribosomal RNA", at positions 524 to 776 of the family's 1533-position model. The record is from RNAcentral.
UACGUAGGGCGCAAGCGUUGUCCGGAAUUAUUGGGCGUAAAGAGCUCGUAGGCGGUGUGUCGCGUCGGCCGUGAAAACCUGCAGCUUAACUGUGGGCGUGCGGUCGAUACGGGCAUCACUGGAGUUCGGCAGGGGAGACUGGAAUUCCUGGUGUAGCGGUGAAAUGCGCAGAUAUCAGGAGGAACACCGGUGGCGAAGGCGGGUCUCUGGGCCGAUACUGACGCUGAGGAGCGAAAGCGUGGGGAGCAAACAGG